UAAAAAGCGAUGAUGGGAAACCCAGUAGCUGCUAUCUCCCUGUGAACAGAGAGUCGAUGGUUGGUGCGAAUCGACACAUAGAUAACAGCGAAUUACAUUCCUGGAGCAUUCUUUGCUAGGUAGAGUUACGCAAAGAACGGACGAGCCGUUAUUCGUAGAGUGGAAGGAUGAAUUCCUUCAAAUAGGGUGGUACCGCGUGCAAAACCACGUCCCUUUU
Molecule: non-coding RNA, 217 nt
Filed under: Bacillus sp. (in: firmicutes)
Lineage: Bacteria; Bacillati; Bacillota; Bacilli; Caryophanales; Bacillaceae
Description: Bacillus sp. T-box sequence
Rfam family: T-box leader
About the family: Uncharged tRNA acts as the effector for transcription antitermination of genes in the T-box leader family. T-boxes are found upstream of many aminoacyl-tRNA synthetase genes and some amino acid biosynthetic genes usually in Gram-positive bacteria.
Source: RNAcentral